GAAACUGAAUGGGUAUUCUUUUCACAUAUAAUGAAGCCCCGUUUUGUAUCCGGAUCCGCUAAUUCGGAUCCGUAUAUAUGUUAUAAAAAAAUUAAUAUUUCCAAUCUUCAUUUGCUGUCCGCCUCCAACCAUCCACUUUCAAACCCUAAUUUCUCAUCCAGAACAACAAUCAAUCCCAAAAAUGUUGAGACACGCUGCUAAGAGAAUCACAGGGUCAGGAUUAGCCCCGACACGGUGGUCUUCACCGGCGGCGAACCGGUUUUAUCAUGAGAGGGUUGUGGACCAGUACAAUAAUCCCCGUAACGUUGGCGCGUUUGACAAGAACGAUCUGAUGUAAUACAGGGUCUGGAGUGGAAUAGUGGGUUCCUUCAACAUGCGGCACCACCAAAGCUGUCAACGACAGAUUCAAGAUGGAAUUUGAGUUAUCGAGGGUGUAUGGCCUAAGUUACUUUGAGAUUGGUGAUAUUAAACUGUUGAGAUUAGGGAAAUUAGGAGAAUGUUUGGAAAAAAUAUGUCGAUAUUCCAAGUCCAAAUGAAAGCGAACUUGCACAUUUAACAGGAAUGCAAACAGAGAGCUUUGAACAAAUUAGCCUAGCUGAUUCCGAAUGUCACAAAUUGGGUUAAAGAGGUCCUUGUGAAACUUAGUGGGCGAGGAUCGGUUUUGUUCUUUGGAGAAAAGAACCAAUUAAACAAGUUGAUUAGCAGUUCAGUAUUGGGGAAAGCUUGGUCUCUUUGACAUCUUUAGUGCUCAUACAUGGAAGGGUAUGUAUAUGUUUGAAUCAGGUAUACAUUUAUUCGAAUGGUAGGCAAUUUGCACAACGGUUAAUAUUUAGAUAUAAAAAGUAUGGCUACUUAAGGAAAUAUUUAUGUGGAUAAUUCGUCACGAGAGCGGGGUAAAACUUGAUCCUUAGAUUGGGAGACCAAUUGUGUAUGGGUUGGCCGCAAAAGGGAGAGUAUGGAGUUAGAAGAAAUGUGGAAGGAUGAACUCUCAAUGAUAUGUGGAUGUCACUUUGUUUAUGAUUUAUGAAGUGACUUCAAGGUUAUUAAAUUUUAUGUGUUUGUUAAAUCAAAGAGGACUUGCAUCUAUAACGUUGGAUGUGGCAGGGCGUGCUACGCCAACCUAACUGAGUUCAUGUUACUUUUAGUAAAUUGUAAAUGUAACAUUAUUUUGUCGUUUUCUUGAUGUUUUUAUAUACGUCUUAUAAAGAAAACUUUAUACCUAA
This is a long non-coding RNA of Helianthus annuus (common sunflower), 1223 nucleotides long. RefSeq lists it as uncharacterized. The record is from RefSeq and is a predicted model, not a curated record. The transcript has 6 exons. Lineage: Eukaryota; Viridiplantae; Streptophyta; Magnoliopsida; Asterales; Asteraceae.